This 810-nucleotide ribosomal RNA is filed under the name uncultured archaeon. RNAcentral's name for it is "bacterial SSU rRNA". It matches the Rfam family "Archaeal small subunit ribosomal RNA", at positions 85 to 879 of the family's 1478-position model. The record is from RNAcentral.
ACGGCUCAGUAACACGUAGUUAAUCUGCCCUUAGGACGAGAAUAACCCUGGGAAACUGGGGCUAAUUCGCGAUAGAUGAAAGCGCCUGGAAUGGUCUUCCAUCUAAAAGCUCUCGGAAGCACGCUUCCGAUGGCGCCUAAGGAUGAGACUGCGGCCGAUCAGGCAGUUGGUAGGGUAACGGCCUACCAAACCUAUAACCGGUACGGGCCCUGAAAGGGGAAGCCCGGAGAUGGGAACUGAGACAAGGUCCCAGGCCCUACGGGGCGCAGCAGGCGCGAAAACUUCGCAAUGCGCGAAAGCGUGACGAGGUUAACCCGAGUGCCGUCCGAUGAGGAUGGCUUUUCCUCAGUGUAAGGAGCUGGGGGAAUAAAGGGGGGGCAAGUCCGGUGUCAGCCGCCGCGGUAAUACCAGCCCCCUGAGUGAUAGGGACGAUUAUUUAGCCUAAAGCGUCCGUAGCCGGUUUAGUAAGUCUUUCGUUAAAUCUGACGACUUAAUCGCCAGACCGCGGGAGAUACUGCUAGGCUAGAGGGCGGGAGAGGUUGACGGUAGUCCCGGAGUAGGGGUGAAAUCCUAUAAUCCCGGGAGGACCACCAGUGGCGAAGGCGGUCGACUAGAACGCGCCUGACGGUGAUGGACGAAAGCUGGGGGAGCAAACCGGAUUAGACACCCGGGUAGUCCCAGCUGUAAACGAUGCGGGCUAGGUGUUGGUGCAGCUACGGGCUGCUUCAGUGCCGCAGAGAAGUCGUUAAGCCCGCCGCUUGGGAAGUACGGCCGCAAGGCUGAAACUUAAAGGAAUUGGCGGGGGAGCAC